This 242-nucleotide unclassified non-coding RNA is filed under the name uncultured Geminibasidium. Its description in RNAcentral is "sequence contains ITS2". The record is from RNAcentral. Lineage: Eukaryota; Fungi; Basidiomycota; Geminibasidiomycetes; Geminibasidiales; Geminibasidiaceae.
GAACACCUCAACCCUUCAAGGUUUUUUUUACGAGCUUUGGAGGCGUUGGUAGUGAGCGCUGCCGGUCCCCCCGGAUCGGCUCGCUUCAAAACCAUUAGCUGGAUCCACCUUGACCUGGUUCUACUCGGCGUAAUAAGUCGUUAUCGUCGAGGACGCUGGCCCUUCUGGGCGGGCGGCCACAGUAAGGGUGUUUGAACCGCUUCCAACGACACGUCUUGCUCUCGGAGCAAGCGUCUUUGAAC